RNAcentral lists this ribosomal RNA (253 nucleotides) under uncultured bacterium. RNAcentral describes it as "partial 16S ribosomal RNA". It matches the Rfam family "Bacterial small subunit ribosomal RNA", at positions 524 to 776 of the family's 1533-position model. The record is from RNAcentral.
UACAGGGGGUGCAAACGUUGCUCGGAAUCACUGGGCGUAAAGGGCGCGUAGGCGGCCAACUAAGUCGGACGUGAAAUCCCUCAGCUUAACUGGGGAACUGCGUCCGAUACUGGAUGGCUUGGAUUUGGGAGAGGGAUGCGGAAUUCCAGGUGUAGCGGUGAAAUGCGUAGAUAUCUGGAGGAACACCGGUGGCGAAGGCGGCAUCCUGGACCAAUAUUGACGCUGAGGAGCGAAAGCCAGGGGAGCAAACGGG